GAUGAACGCUGGCGGCGUGCCUAAUACAUGCAAGUCGAGCGAACAGACGAGGAGCUUGCUUCUCUGAUGUUAGCGGCGGACGGGUGAGUAACACGUGGAUAACCUACCUAUAAGACUGGGAUAACUUCGGGAAACCGGAGCUAAUACCGGAUAAUAUUUUGAACCGCAUGGUUCAAUAGUGAAAGACGGUCUUGCUGUCACUUAUAGAUGGAUCCGCGCUGCAUUAGCUAGUUGGUAAGGUAACGGCUUACCAAGGCAACGAUGCGUAGCCGACCUGAGAGGGUGAUCGGCCACACUGGAACUGAGACACGGUCCAGACUCCUACGGGAGGCAGCAGUAGGGAAUCUUCCGCAAUGGGCGAAAGCCUGACGGAGCAACGCCGCGUGAGUGAUGAAGGUCUUCGGAUCGUAAAACUCUGUUAUUAGGGAAGAACAUAUGUGUAAGUAACUGUGCACGUCUUGACGGUACCUAAUCAGAAAGCCACGGCUAACUACGUG
RNAcentral lists this ribosomal RNA (497 nucleotides) under uncultured bacterium. Its description in RNAcentral is "partial 16S ribosomal RNA". It matches the Rfam family "Bacterial small subunit ribosomal RNA", at positions 28 to 507 of the family's 1533-position model. The record is from RNAcentral.